This is a long non-coding RNA of Alexandromys fortis (reed vole), 11120 nucleotides long. RefSeq lists it as uncharacterized. Lineage: Eukaryota; Metazoa; Chordata; Mammalia; Rodentia; Cricetidae. The record is from RefSeq and is a predicted model, not a curated record. The transcript is spliced from 2 exons.
UUAAAUGAAAAAAAAAUGCUUAAUACAUAAAGCAAAAAGGGGCAUACACACAGACAGACACGCACACACCUAAAGUUAGUGAAUACAAGUAUCUUUUUCUUUCUCUCUGAAAACAGAGUCGUGUCGUGUGUGUCACGUCCCCCACGUGAAUUCAGGGACCAGACUUGGGUCUUCUGCAGCCAUUUCUCUCACCCCAAGUUUUUGUUUGUUGUUUUCCAAAACAGGGUUUCACGAUGUAGCGCUGGCUGUCCUAUAUAGACCAGGCUGGACUCCAACCUGGAGCUCUACCUGCCUCCCAAGUGCUGGGAUUAAAGGUGCCACCCAGCUCCCAAGACUAGUUCUAUUCUUAUCUAUUGGGAUUUAUAGAACUAUGUAACAGGGACUGGAGAGAUGGUCAGAAGUUGAGAGCACUGCCUGCUCUUCCAGAGGACCUGGGUUCAAUUCCCACCACCCACAUGCUAGUUCACAGCUGUUGGUAGUUCCAGCUCCAGGGGAUCCAACACCCUCACACAGACGUGCAAAACACCAAUGCAUAUAAAAUAAAAAUACAUAAAUCAUUAAAAGGGUUCCCUCACACAAACCUCUUACCCUUUCGAGGUUCAUUUAUCCCUCACAACAACCAAACAUGACCGGUACUUUUAUUCUUUCCACUUUACUACCACUGAAAUAAUCUUUCAGAAACCCAAUUUUUCAUCAUCAAAAUAUAGUAUCUAUUAUAGUGUAUAGUAUGAACUAAGUAGAUACUGUACAAGGAUAGAGAGAUACGAGUGCUCACCUUUAAACCCAAUUUCCUCUUGUAGGCUUCCAAGCUACCCCUGCAUUUCCCUCAUUUGACAAUUGUAAAGAUCAGUUAAGAUCAACUGCUCCCACAUUGAUGGCGUUGGUGUUACCUUCCAACACUACUGACAGCCAGCAGCAACUUAACUGUUAAACAGAAUGAUAAUUUCCAUUUUUUUAAAAAUAGGGUCUCAUGUAGUCCAGGCUGGUACUGAACUCAACAUGUAGCUGAGGAUGACCUUAAACCCUAGAUCCUCCUACCUCUGUCUCUCGAGUGCUGGGAUUAUACGCAUGGCUCAUGCCCUGGCUGCAUUUUAUUUUUUUUAAAUAUUUAUUUAUUUAUUAUGUAUACAAUAUUCUGUCUGUGUGUAUCUCCAGGGCAUCAGAACUCACUACAGAUGGUUGUGAGCCACCAUGUGGUUGCUGGGAAUUGAACUCAGGACCUUUGGAAGGGCAGGCUAUGCUCUUAACCACUGAGCCAUCCCUCCAGCCCCCCCCCCCCCAGCUGCAUUUUAAACAGUGUAAAUAUCUGCACAAUGGUGUUCUGGUCAAUGUGACAGACAGGAUAUACAAUGGUAUAGACCCAUAGUCUAGGUCUGCAGCAAGCUAUUCUAUCUGGCCUUGUAUAAGCAAACUCUACAGUGUUUGCAGAGCAACGAGACGGCCUAACAAAGGGAUUCUCAGAAUGUAUCCCCAUUACUAGACAGCAUGCAAAGUUCAAAUCUAAGCCACGAACGAAGAGUUAUACAUAACUUUAAGUCUCACAAAUAUCAGGGCAGUUUUUAGAAACUAUUUUUGAGCUUUUAUUAUUUUUAUACAUACAGUCUGCCUUCAUGUAAAGUCUGUGCACAUGUGUGCAGCACCCAUGGAGACCAGAAGAGGAUGCUGGGUCCUCUGAGAAAGUUACAGACCAAUGUCCAUCUCCAUAUACUCCUGGGAAUUGAACCCAGGUCCUCUAGAAGAAUCAGCCAGUGAUGUUAACCACUAAGCCAUCUUUCCGGCCCCUUAGGGCAACUUUAAAAAAAUAUUUUAUUAUUUUUUAAAAAUUCUGUGCCAGGGUGUUCUGCCUGAUGCAGUUGGUGUGGCACAUAUGGGCAGUCCUCUGGGACUGGAGUUACGCAGGGUUGUGAGCUGCCAUGUGGGUGCUCGCAAUCCAGUUCAGGUUAUCUGGAAGAGCAGUCAGGGCUUCUUAGCUGGAGAAGUGAGUCAUUUCUCCAGCUCCAAUUAUGAUAAUGAUGGUGACGAUGAUGUACAUCUAAAAGUGCAGGUGAGUGUGUGGAAGUGAGAGGCUAUUUGGAAAUGCUUUCUCUCCUUCCACCGUGGGAUCAGCAUCAAACUCAGUUGUCAGGCUUGCAUGGCAGGCACUGUUACCCCCUGAGCUAUCUCACCCGCCCAUGGCAACUCUUUGAUCUAAUGUUUUAUUGCAUCUCUACAACUGCCCUAUGAGAUAGGCACUCCCUGUGUAUUAAAUAAUUCAAGGCUGUUCCGAGGGAGGUGCAUAUAACCUUGUCCUUGGCUCCUGCGACGUCCUGUCUGAUAUUUACUAUCAUAGGUCACACCAGAUGAUCUAACUAUGAGUUACGAUGGGAGGCUUUUGGUCGUAAGUUAUCAGCUUGACUUCUAACAGGGCUGCGCACCGAGGUCGGACAUGUGGAGAGCUAGGUAUACCUAUGCAAUAAAGCCCUCAUUCCCUGGCUGGCAGUACUCUGCACACUGUGACACAUCACUGCUAGGAGCUGACACGGUCCAUGACUUCACUGGGACAGACAACUGAAGCUGUGUUCAGGGAGAACCACAGCCAUCAUCAGUGAGUUGGAAUCCCAGCCCCAGGGACACCUAAAGGUACAGCUGGUGUGAGAAGUGAGGACAGCAUGGGGAGUUCCCCUUCGGCAGCGCCACUGCUUCAGAGGGACUGACAAUUAGCUGUCUCAGUUAGGGCUCUUACUGUGAUAAACACCACGGACAAAAGCAACUUAGGGAAGAAAGGGAAGUCAGGGCAGGAACUCCAGCCCAGACCAUGGAGGGGUGCUGCUUAGUGGCUUCCUCCUCCUAACCGCUCAGUCCGCUUUCUUAUACAACCCAGGACCACCCACAGGGAGCUGGGCCUCCCAACACUUCACAGACUGGACUACUGUCCACACUGGGUCCUGGUUUGUGUCAAGCUGAUAGAAACCAAGCCGCACUCCAGCCGUGUCAGCUGUCUACAAAGGAACUCGGGCUUUGGGCUUUCUCUUCAGACGGUGUUUCUCUGCCAUCAACCUGAAACAUGCGCCCAGUGUACCGAUGUUUGGGUUAGCACAGCUCUGAAGUACUCCAGCUUCAUGGUGCUGACUCUCAACAUCAUCUUCUCCUCCCCGUAACUUAGUUUGAUACCUGACUGCAGUUAUAUGGAAAGUUACACAGAGAACAGACAGACAGAACGUGGUCACUACUGGUCACUCCCCUCCUUUUGUUUUCUUUAUUUUUUCUGGCUGCUGCUGCAGCGGCCUUGUCUUAGUUAGGAUUACAAUUUUGAUGACAAAACAUCAGGACCAAAAGCAAGUUGGGGAGGAAAGGUUUUAUUUGGCUUACACAGCAUACUGAGGGCCCUAAAGGUGGGCACUCACACAGAGCAGGAGCUCAGGCAGAGACCAUUGAGGGGGGCUGCCCACUGGCUUGCUCGGCCUGCUUUCUUACAGAACCCAGGACGACUUUCUGAUAGAAGCCCAGGGAUGAAUGUGGAAUAUUAGAUCACACCGUGACACUCAGAUUGUUAAUAAAAUUACCUUGAAUCCGGGGCAGAGCCAGCAACCACCUGACAGAAAGCAGCCAUAGAGAAGCCAGGAAUUCAAUAGAGAAGACCAAAGCAAAGGAAAGGGAGGGACUAAGAGUUUGGCGCUUUUUUUGGUUUUGGGAUGAGUGAAGAGGCUUGUCUUGUGGUGUCUCUGGCCAAGGUCAGCUGGUUGCUUCUCAGCUUCUGUGACUUAGCAGAUUUUCACUCCCCACAUCUGACUUCCAAGUCUUCAUUGGUAAAUAGAACAACAGACUUAGCUUAAACCUACACAGCCUAACCGGUUCUGCUGUGGCAGUGGGACCAGAAGGCCUUCUAGGCUGCAGCCUGAGUGGUGGGUGGGGCAUUGACUGGGGGGCAGUGGGGCCCGGAGACGAUAAUUAAAAUAUCAAUAGUAUUAUAUUCAGUCACUAAGACAACAGGAAAACUACAAGGAAUGGCGCCACCCCGAGUGGAAUGGGCCCUCCCCACCAACCACUAAGAAAAUGCUGCAGAAUGCCUACAUCUGAUCUUGUGGAGGCUCCCUCUCUCAGAUGAAACUAAAAUUAGGCAGCACAGGUAUAAGCCCAGGUUCUCAUGCAUAUUAUGAGCCUCAGUUCAGACUCCACCCCUGAGAAAGCCCCUCAAUAAUAACCCCUCCCCAGAGAAGCUCAAGACCACUACAGCAGGGUGCUUAAACUGCCCCCUGGAGAACAAACGUGGUUUCCUGGUUUCCGGUCAAACCUGGGCUUUUUCUAAUUUGGUCCGAUUUUGUCUAAUUUGGAUUACUGACUGUAAUCUCGGAGAAGCUUAUCAGGGUGCAGAAACUUCAAAAAGUAUUAAAUCUUAUUUCAAGAUUUCGUAAAUAUUAGUAGUCUGAAGGCAUAGAUAAGUUCCACCAGCUGAUCAUUUAUGCAAACUCACUAACGAGUAACAUUUAAAAAAAUAAUCUGUCAACUCUAUCAUGCUGAAAGUUAACCCAGAAUAUCCUACGCUAAACAUUUUUGAGGCUUAAUUAGAGUUCUUCAAGAAGGUAGAACUAAACGCAAGGAUUAGCUUAAGGAGCUUGAUUAGUGGAAAAGAGUUGCUGGGGGCAGCACCAGUCUCAGCUGGGCCGGCAGUCAGUCUGACCCCCAAAUGAAGGGGAGAGGCAGGGGCAGGGGGAGGGAUAGGAGAGGAGGCUGAUGGGUGAGGAUGCGAUUACUAACAGGCUAAUUACUAAUCAGAAUGUGCUACAGAGUAAGCAGGGGACUGAGGAAGCAUCUGAGUUCUUCACAAGUUUGGUUUUUGCCACAACUCAUGUUUUAGGUAUGUACUGUCUUUUUCCUAAGCACUCCUUCCUUAAUGCUUGUGUUUAAAUCUCUAUUGAAAGUGUCUGUGCACACGCGCGGAUGUGUGUGGAAGUCGGAGGCCAAUGGUGGGUGUCACUAUGUGUGGAGAGCUCACUGACUAGCCAAGGAGCUCCAGGGAUCCCUGCUACCGUGCCUCCCCAGCACUGGGAUCUUAGGUGCACUUAUGUGUCCGCCAUUUAUGUGGGGUCUGGACCAUGACCAAGCACUUUACUGAGUCAUUCCCAGACCUAAAACUGUUUGUUAAGAAACCCAACUUUGAGCCCAGCAUGGUGAGAUCCUGUCUCAAACCACCACUAGCAACCCAACUUUGUUUACAUACAUACUCUCUCUCUCUCACACACCCCACAUUCUUUAGAGUUUUACUAUGUUUAUAGCCCUGGCUGGCCUUGAAUUUAUGAUUCUCUUGCCUCUGUCUCCUAAGUGCUGGGAGUUUUAGGUAUUUUAGGGCUGGGGACAUAAUUCAGUGAGAGUAAUUGUCUAGCUGUUCAAGGUACUGGGUUCAAUCCCCUGAAGCACAAAAAUAAAAUAUACUUCAUAUAACUAUAUGGCACCUAUAAAAACUAAACAUACACAUCAGUUGAAAAGUGAGCAAAGGUAUCAAGACCGGCAGUCUGAAGAAAACAGCCCUUCCUUCCUCUUGCUUUCUGAGACAAGCACCUCUGCUUCCUCACCGCCCACUCGCUCUCCAGCCCACAGAAAGCUGGCCAUCCAUCUCCGCCACAGCGGCCACGUCAAGGCGACAAACUCGGGAAGGCUUCCAGGCCCUUUUCCUGUACUUCCACUGUUCAAGCUUCCUUCCGGGACUGGCCCUCUGCAUUUUCUUCUUCUUUCAUCCUCACUCACUUGGCAUCCAGGUUUCUCAUGCCCUGCCGUUUCUGACAAGGGUUCACCAUGCAUCCAAGGCUGAUAGGGUUUCUCCUUCUGCCUCCCCAGUGCUGGAAUUACGGCAUGUACCACCACACCUGGCUCUUAUGAAGAAUAUUUUUAUAACCUGCAAGCCAGUUUCUGCCUCUCAGUUGCAUCAAAAUUCCCCUCCAUGGCUUAAAGCUCUUUCCUUGAAUGAUCUCAUCGACUCUCACUGUUCUGGCUCCAAGGCCUCCACCUCCAGGCUUGUGCUCCACCUUUGUGCUUUAGAUUCACAUCCGACUGCCGAGGAAUCACGCCCAUUCGGCCAUUCCACAGACACCGCAAAACCAACAAGCUGAAAACUGAAUCCAUUGUCCUCCCUCUCAACUUUCCCAGCCCACUCACCCUGCCUGGAAGCCAAGUCGUCCUCCACAAACCCCUCCCGCCUCUCAGAUAGUUCUCAGGUGUGCACAUCCUCCUCAUUCACGUAGACUUGUCCCAGCUGUCCUGCCUCUCCAGUGCGGGCAUCAAAAGCAUGCACUACCAUCGACUUUUUUAAAAACAUUUUUUAAAUUUGUGUGUGCCAACAUAUGCACGGGUGUCAGCUGACAAUGUUUGAAAGCCGGUUUCCUCUCACCACAUGGGCUUGGCUUCUGAGAUCAAACACAGGCUGCCAGGCUUGGCAGAAACAGCCGUCACGCACUGAGACAAUUCUUCAGCUCCAUGUAUACAUAUUUUACACACAUGCUUACUUUUUUUCCAGGAGAAGAGGAGUCGCCCUGAACUGAACGAAACUGCCUGCCUUCCCAAUGAUGUAACUGAAGACCGGACAUUAAAUGAUCCCAGGUCAGCUGUGCUCACAACCCACUGGAGACAAACGUGGGCUUCUGAGCAGCGAUUCUCCUCUACAUUCGCUCACAGAAGAGCAGAACUGGAGUAGAGAAACUACAUGGGCAGCAGGACUGCACGGAUUUCUCUGUAGCUUUGAACUAGCUCUUGUAUGGCCUCGAACUCACAGAGAGAUCCACCUACCUCUGCUGGGAUUAAUGGCUUGUGCCACCACCACCACCCGGCCAGCAGUAACUUCUAUUAGCCACGAUUGAACAGAGAAACCUUUAUGCUCAAAGUGGUGUUUGUGUGUGUGUGUGUGUGUUGUGUGUGCACGUGGGGGGGGGGCCCACCUAACCCAACACUCUACCUCUAGACUACAGUUACAGAUGAGACUAUUCACAGAAAACAUUGCCCAGAAUGUAAAUUACCACCUUUAAUAAAAACAAGACCCAUUUUCUCUUCAAACAUUUUACUAUUUCUCUACAUUCCUAAUGUAGUGAACUAAGUGGUGUUUGUGCUCUCGGGUCACACCACAGGCUGGGGUGCAGGAAGCCGGUGUCACAAGUGAUGCAAAUGUCUGAUAUCCAAGUCAGAGCAAGGGAACGUAUCAUUAACCAGCGGAACUCUGUGAGUUUCAUUCUGCCUGUAAGGCUUCCCCAGGCUUGGAAAGAUGCUCAGAGCACAUGCUGCCUAUGGCUUCCAAGCUCCCUUUGAUGCUUUCCCAAGUCUUUGUUAUCACCAUAUGGCCAAUAAACACGGCUCUCCCAGAAGCUGGUCAUGUAUCAGUCAUCUAUGAAGUUUAUAAAAAACGAUGCCUGGGUCUUCGUCAAGCCUACCAGUAGGGGAAUGUUGGUGUGGAGGCCAAGAAUUUAAAUGUACCAAGUAGGAGUUGGAGAGCUGGUUCACUGGCUGGAGUACCUGCAGAGGACCAGGAUUUGAUUCCUAGCAUUUACGUGGAGGCUCAAAACUAUCUGUGACUCUAGUCCCUGGGGAUCUGACACCCUCUUCUGACCUCCAGAGGUAUCAGGCAUGCACACGGUGCACAGAUAUACAUGCAGGCAAACACUCAUAAUCAUGAGAUAAUAAAAUAAAUAAAAAUUUAAAAAAUGCACUAGGUGUUUCCAAUGUUCAGCUAAGGCUGAAACCACUCAGCCCACUCUGGCCGUAUAAAUGUCCAGUUUUCCCUGGCUUUUCAAAGUUGAUGGUCAUUAUGGGAAAAUGGAGAUGCAGAGGCCUAGAUUCUAACUCCAGUUCUGACAUGAGCAGCUGUUUGACCUUUGGCUAGUCUAGCCAUCCCAGAUCCCAUUUUCCUCAUCCAUCUAAGAGGUGACUCAUGAGCUACCUUGGAAGAUGGCUCAGUUGGUGCUUAGCCUUUGAGCAUGAGGACCUGAGUUUGAGCCUAUCUGAAUCUGGUGAUGCAUGUGGGCCAGGGGUCGAUGAUGUCUUAAAAUGAAGGUGAACACACCUGAGAAAUGACACCAGAGAUUGUCCUCUGGUCUGCACAUGCAUGCGCACACAUAUACACAUAUCCAAUAACUGGCUCGUAGCCAAUAACUGGCAGCCAGCAAAUUACAUGCAGUGUGUAGGAAGGUUUGGUUAGUACCCUCCAAGAUGGCCUUUAAAAUGUCUCUUCAAAAAUUAGCUUUACUUAGAAACCGAAUUUCAAACAUCUUGAACAACUGCAGAAUGAAGAACUAGACUAGACCCCGUCCCUACACCCUAACCCCACCCCCAUGUUCAUGCUACCUGCAUGGAUCCCAAUGGCACCGAACUUCCUUCCCUCCCUUGCCAAGGGGGUAGUUAGGCUCAACAGCUGUCACCGUGAAGUGACCAAUGUAAACACAGAGCGUUAGGAAAUGACGGUGGAUGACUGCCUCGAGAGACACUGCACCCCCUGCUGGCUCUGUUGAGUCAGAAUGUAGAUGCUUGCACCAGGAAGUGGGGAGCUAGGCCUCCUACCAACAGCCAGAAGCAACUGGCCAGUCGCUGAGUCAACCUACUAAAGAAGACAAUCCUCCUUCAGAUAAGGACAAUCUCACAAGACUAAAGUGUUUGGAGAUUUUUGGCUUUUAACACCCCUCUAAUCCCAAUAUUCUGGACAGAGGCAGGCAGAUAUCUUUAAAUUCAAGGUCAACCUGGUCUACAAAGUUAAGUUCCAGGACAGUCAGGGCUAUAAAGACCCUGUCUAAAAAAUAAAAAUAAAAAAUAAAAAAAUCCAAAAACCCAAAAAGAACAACAAACAAUCAAACAAACAAAAACCCCCAGGUAUUGCCUUACAAAACAAAAUUGAGGGCAAUUUGUUAUAUAUCAACAGAAAAGCAGUAAUGCCACUGUUACGUGAUUUCUUUAAUAGUGAGGCGAGGAAACAUCUUCAUUUUGAGAUUAGAGCCACAGAAUUCUAGAAGGUUCAAAUGGAUCCGUCAGGUGACUAGGGAAUUUUCUUUCUGGUUAAGAAAAUGCGACUGUGACAGAAUUCCCCCAGUUCGGUAGGUUCUCUCAAACACAAGGCUCUUUUCCCUGCCCCACCACCCUAUUCCUGUGCCUCUACUGCUUUGCAGGUUUUUCUUGCUUUCUAAUUGCAGCUUUCUUCAAAGUUCCAUCCUUAAAUGUGCGUACAGGCUGGCUGAGAAGCGUGUAUCACAGAGGCUCCACUCAAGCUGGGCGUGGGGCUUCACGUCUUUCCUCCCAGCACUCUCCAGGCCAAGGCAAGAGGACUGCCACAAGUUCGAGGCUAGCCCAAGCUACACAAUGAGCCCCAAGCCAGCCUGGUUACAGAAUGAGGUUCUGUCUAAAAAAACCGAACCAAACAACAGAAACCAUAAAAUUGAAAAAUAAAAGUUAUCACUCAGUGUGAGUCAAUUAGGGAGGAAAGGGUGGAAACUGGCUUCGUGGGCAAAGGGAUCAUAAAGGGUUCAAAUUUUAGGGGCUGGAAUCAAGAGUGCAAACUGCUCGGAGAAGACCACAACCACCUGUAACCCCAGCUCCAGGGGAUCCACUGCCUCUGGCCUCUGGGAUCAGUACUCAGUCUUUUACAUGCAGACACCCCACACACAUAACUAAACAUAAACCUUCACAGAAGACUUCUCGUUCUAGCCCAACUACACUAGGAUGGCAGCUGCCCAAGGUGGGGGUUGUGAGUCUUGUUGGCAAGGACAGUGUAGGCAGAGUCGCAGCAGGAGAAACCGAGCGUAAAAGCAGAGUGGCUCCAGGGUUUAACACUCUGAUCUUUUCACAUUCAGUUUCAUCUUUUCCAAGGUCGGUCGGAAUCUAGAAAUUUCAUAGGGCUUCCCUUGAUGAGCUACUGUUUGUUCUGAGGAUCACAUGACUAGACACAAACAGUUUGAAAGCAGCAAUCAGAAAGAGAAUUCAGUAUGCAGUCAAAUUAAGAUGCUUUACAAAAUUAACUUAAUGUACCUAAUGAUACAUAAUUGUUUUUAUGGCUACAUACGUAGGUUUUUAAGUUCCAUAAUUAUCUUUCUUUUAAAGAGUCAAACAGAGCUUUUACAUCUAACACCAGGCGCACUUGCCCCAUACACCACAGCGCCCUCUCCUCUUCCUUACAGGUGUUCUGGGUGUCCCGGCAGUUCCCUAUUCUCUGACAUCUCUAUCACUUCUAAAGUGCGCAAAUCUGACCUUUUGUAACUGUGUACUCCCAUGUAACAACCCAAGUCAGUUACAAAUGUUAAACAUCACUCCAGAAAGUUUCCCCGAAGUCACUACCCAGGCAAAUCUUGUUUGGAUUUCUUUCCUGAGACAAGUUUUAACUACACUGCCCAAGCUGACUGAAGCUCAGGACCUCCUGCCUCAGCUUCCAGGGGCCACGAUAGAGGUUAUCAGAGACCAUCUGAACUUGAUCUACUCUUGUUUGAGUGUCUUUUAAACCAAAAAGCAAAUGUAUAUACUUGUGUAGGCCUGGUUUCUUUCUUUUGUUCCUUUUUUUAUUUUAUAUUUAUUCACUUUUUAAAAUUUUAUGUGCAUUGGUGUUUUGCCUGCAUGAAUGUCUGUUAGGAUGCCAGAUUCCUUGGAACUGGAAUUACAGACAGUUGUGAGUUGCCACAGUUGUGGGUGCUGGGAAUUGAACCCCGGGUCCCGGAAGAGCAGCUAGUGCUCUUAACUGCUGAGCCAUCUCCCCAGGCCAGCCUGGAGUCUUUUAAUGUAAUAUUUUUGAGACUGAACCACUGUGUUGAGUUUAUGAAUGGCCUUCCUCCUCCUCUUUUAAAAACCAUUUUUGAGUGUGUGGGAUCAAACCAGGACCUCCAACAUAUCAGGCAAGUGCUACACGCUCAGUCCUUUAUUCUUUUCUACUCACUAGUAGAAUUACACUGAAAAUUACAACUUACAAAUAUUCUUAAGUUUUUACUUACAAAGGCUUUUUACAGUCUUUUGUCUUUCUUCUUGGAUUAUAAAGUCUAGAAGACUGCCUUGCACCUGGCAGGUGCCAAACAGGUAAGCAAGUCUUUCCAUCAAAAACAAAUUGCAUACACAAGUGUUCACGGUAUGGCAGGUGUUAGAGCCGAGUGAGCACUCCUGAAGUAAGGCUUUUUUCUAAGUCAGCACACACUUAG